Molecule: long non-coding RNA, 274 nt
Filed under: Elaeis guineensis (African oil palm)
Lineage: Eukaryota; Viridiplantae; Streptophyta; Magnoliopsida; Arecales; Arecaceae
Description: long non-coding RNA (EGUI_LNC077243)
Source: RNAcentral
CAUGACAACCGUUCUUCAUCUGAGCUUCUACAAUAAGCGGAUUCCUUUCAGACUCCUCGAAAAGUCAGAAUACAGUAGAAUUGAAUCUCGGACUCCUCCAAUGUUUGACCUUCCAUAGUGUCCUCAAGACUCCUCCAAUAAACAAACCUCUACAAUGCCAUCCGAACUCCACUAUCGGACGACCCCCUGUCGGAUUCCGCAUGAAACUGGACCUCUCCAGUGGACAAUCUUCAGACAAGCUUCCACAUCAGACAAAUCUCAAACGGACUUCUCU